This is a non-coding RNA of Parelaphostrongylus tenuis, 75 nucleotides long. The record is from the annotation of a GenBank genome assembly. Lineage: Eukaryota; Metazoa; Nematoda; Chromadorea; Rhabditida; Metastrongylidae.
GGCUCGGUGGUGUAAUGGCAGUAGCACGCGUCCGCGGUAUGGAUGAAACGCGGGUUUGAUUCCCGCCCGAGGCCA